This 380-nucleotide unclassified non-coding RNA is filed under the name soil metagenome. RNAcentral describes it as "partial contains 5.8S ribosomal RNA, internal transcribed spacer 2, and large subunit ribosomal RNA". The stretch from base 1 to 120 matches the Rfam family "5.8S ribosomal RNA", at positions 35 to 154 of the family's 154-position model. The record is from RNAcentral.
GAUGAAGAACGCAGCGAAAUGCGAUAAGUAAUGUGAAUUGCAGAAUUCAGUGAAUCAUCGAAUCUUUGAACGCACCUUGCACCCGUUGGCAUUCUGAAGGGUAUGCUCGUUUGAGUGUCAUUGUACUCUCACACUCCCGAUCUUUGCAUUGGGAGCAGUGGACUUGGGUUUGCUGCUUCACCGUCGCUUACCUCAAAUAGGUUAGUGCAACUCUUGGUUGGACAUAGUACGGCGUGAUAAGUGUUCUUCGCCGGUGCCUCGCAAAGAGGGUGGCCGAUCGGGAUGUUGUGCUCCAAACCGUCUUCGGACAAUCUCUGACGACUUGACCUCAAAUCGAGUAAGACUACCCGCUGAACUUAAGCAUAUCAAUAAGCGGAGGA